This 628-nucleotide long non-coding RNA is filed under the name Sorghum bicolor (sorghum). Its description in RNAcentral is "long non-coding RNA (SBIC_LNC006492)". Lineage: Eukaryota; Viridiplantae; Streptophyta; Magnoliopsida; Poales; Poaceae. The record is from RNAcentral.
ACCCUACUCUAAUAAGGUUUUGAUAUCUGGAGCUCAUAGGUGGGAGAUAAAGCAUACAUACUUACAAGACAUUUAUUGCAUAGUCAAACCAUGGAUCCAGAGAAACAAAUUAAUAAGUCAAAUCAAGAUGUGCAUCUGUGGCGAAUGAAUGGUGUAUGGUGAUAACAAUGGUGAAAGUCUAAUUCUACUUUUGCUCUUUUAAGGGGAUACAUACCUUUCUUGCACUUUGAAGCUUUUUGAGGAGAAUGAGAUGCUCUAUAUUUUCUAUUUCUUUUCUCUCAGGUGGGUAUCUUGUACCCCUAAUUCUAAUUUCCAACACUUGUCCAUUUUUACCUCUUGUCUCACUUUUCUUUUCUUCGAGGUUCUGGGCACUUGCCCCUUUUUAUUUCCUCGUAUUUUUCCUUUUUUUUUCAAAGCACUCACCCUCCUAGAAUAAUGUGGCAAGUGGUAGUAACCAAAGUAUCUCGAGCAUUUAUUUCAUAGGGAAUAAGAUGGAUAGGAAAAAGUUUUUGGCUAUUCUCUCCAGGAUAGGAGUAGAAUAAUUUAGGUGAAUCUAGAGACGGAAUUGAGUGGAUGUAUAUGGAUGCGUACUUCAAUAGUAGAAGUAGCAUGUAUAAGUGAACGUGCA